RNAcentral lists this long non-coding RNA (397 nucleotides) under Elaeis guineensis (African oil palm). RNAcentral's name for it is "long non-coding RNA (EGUI_LNC049274)". The record is from RNAcentral. Lineage: Eukaryota; Viridiplantae; Streptophyta; Magnoliopsida; Arecales; Arecaceae.
UCAGGUAGUAAUAUCCUCUCAUUCUCUUCUUCUCCUCCAAAAUCACCCUAUCAUUAUGGAAAAUCUUUAGGAUUCCUUCAUCAGCUCUCCACCUAUAGCAAAUCGAAUCCAGUCUGCUCAGUGAGAUAAGAUUCCAUCUGAAAUUGGAUAUGUAUCAGACCUCUCUCAAUCUUCUCACUACACCAUCAUGUGUCCUUCAGCUGACCGUCUCGAUGCCUCUGAUGGCACAGCUCGAUCCAUCCAACAGAUGAACAAUACCCUCACUACUCUUCAGGGAGUCAAACAGCUUCUCUCUGCAACAUACAUGAUAGGUGCAUGCAGAAUCUAAAAUUUACUAUUGAAAAGAAAUAGAUACCUCAUCAGAUAUCUCCAAGACAUCAUCCUCUGACUCGCUAUU